This 409-nucleotide ribosomal RNA is filed under the name Actinomycetes bacterium. Its description in RNAcentral is "Actinobacteria bacterium partial 16S ribosomal RNA". It matches the Rfam family "Bacterial small subunit ribosomal RNA", at positions 355 to 776 of the family's 1533-position model. Lineage: Bacteria; Bacillati; Actinomycetota; Actinomycetes. The record is from RNAcentral.
AGGGGAAUAUUGCACAAUGGGCGGAAGCCUGAUGCAGCGACGCCGCGUGGGGGAUGAAGGCCUUCGGGUUGUAAACUCCUUUCGACAGGGACGAAGCUUUUGUGACGGUACCUGUAUAAGAAGCACCGGCUAACUACGUGCCAGCAGCCGCGGUAAUACGUAGGGUGCGAGCGUUGUCCGGAAUUACUGGGCGUAAAGAGCUCGUAGGUGGUUUGUCGCGUCGUCUGUGAAAUUCCGGGGCUUAACUCCGGGCGUGCAGGCGAUACGGGCUGACUUGAGUGCUGUAGGAGAGACUGGAAUUCCUGGUGUAGCGGUUAAAUGCGCAGAUAUCAGGAGGAACACCGAUGGCGAAGGCAGGUCUCUGGGCAGUAAAUGACGCUGAGGAGAGAAAGCAUGGGUAGCGAACAGG